AGUGAACGCUGGCGGUAGGCCUAACACAUGCAAGUCGAACGGCAGCACAGUAAGAGCUUGCUCUUACGGGUGGCGAGUGGCGGACGGGUGAGGAAUACAUCGGAAUCUACUUUUUCGUGGGGGAUAACGUAGGGAAACUUACGCUAAUACCGCAUACGACCUACGGGUGAAAGCAGGGGAUCUUCGGACCUUGCGCGAUUGAAUGAGCCGAUGUCGGAUUAGCUAGUUGGCGGGGUAAAGGCCCACCAAGGCGACGAUCCGUAGCUGGUCUGAGAGGAUGAUCAGCCACACUGGAACUGAGACACGGUCCAGACUCCUACGGGAGGCAGCAGUGGGGAAUAUUGGACAAUGGGCGCAAGCCUGAUCCAGCCAUACCGCGUGGGUGAAGAAGGCCUUCGGGUUGUAAAGCCCUUUUGUUGGGAAAGAAAAGCAGCAGGUUAAUACCCCGCUGUUCUGACGGGACCUAAAGAAUAAGCACCGGCUAACUUCGU
RNAcentral lists this ribosomal RNA (491 nucleotides) under uncultured bacterium. Its description in RNAcentral is "partial 16S ribosomal RNA". It matches the Rfam family "Bacterial small subunit ribosomal RNA", at positions 29 to 506 of the family's 1533-position model. The record is from RNAcentral.